Molecule: unclassified non-coding RNA, 327 nt
Organism: Erinaceus europaeus (western European hedgehog)
Lineage: Eukaryota; Metazoa; Chordata; Mammalia; Eulipotyphla; Erinaceidae
Gene: 7SK
Rfam family: 7SK RNA
About the family: 7SK was discovered as an abundant small nuclear RNA in the mid-70s but a possible function has only recently been suggested. Two independent studies have found that 7SK RNA binds the CDK9/cyclin T complex (known as elongation factor P-TEFb).
Source: Ensembl
GGAUGUGAGGGCAAUCUGGUUUUCACAUCUGUCACCCCAUUGAUCGCCAGGGUUGAUUCUGCUGAUCUGGCUGGCUAGGCAGGUGUUCCCUUCCUCCCUCACGGCUCCAUGUGCGUCCCUCCCGAAGUUGUGCAUUAAGUCGACGAGGAUGGCCUUCCCUGAAUAGAAACAGACUGGUCUUCAUGGAGGGUAUAUGAGUAGCUGCGCUCCCUUGCUAGAACCUCCAAACAAGCUCUCAAGGUCCAAGAAGUAUGACAGAGGACCUAGUGGGGGUAUCAUUAUAUAGAAAACUGGGAAAUAUUAUGCAUGUAUAAACUAUUGUAUUUA